AUUGAACGCUGGCGGCAGGCCUAACACAUGCAAGUCGAACGGUAGCACAGAGAGCUUGCUCUCGGGUGACGAGUGGCGGACGGGUGAGUAACGUCUGGGAAACUGCCCGAUGGAGGGGGGUAACUACUGGAAACGGCAGCUAAUACCGCAUAACGUCGCAAGACCAAAGUGGGGGACCUUCGGGCCUCACACCAUCGGAUGUGCCCAGAUGGGAUUAGCUAGUAGGUGGGGUAAUGGCUCACCUAGGCGACGAUCCCUAGCUGGUCUGAGAGGAGAACCAGCCACGCUGGAACUGAGACACGGUCCAGACUCCUACGGGAGGCAGCAGUGGGGAAUAUUGCACAAUGGGCGCAAGCCUGAUGCAGCCAUGCCGCGUGUAUGAAGAAGGCCUUCGGGUUGUAAAGUACUUUCAGCGGGGAGGAAGGCGGUGAAGUUAAUAACUUCACCGAUUGACGUUACCCGCAGAAGAAGCACCGGCUAGCUCCGUGCCAGCCGCCGCCGUAA
RNAcentral lists this ribosomal RNA (504 nucleotides) under uncultured bacterium. RNAcentral describes it as "partial 16S ribosomal RNA". It matches the Rfam family "Bacterial small subunit ribosomal RNA", at positions 29 to 523 of the family's 1533-position model. The record is from RNAcentral.